CUCAGUGGUGUUCGUGUGUCUCCUACACAUUGGCAUGCGCGCCUUGGUCAUCCUGCUGCUCCUAUAGCUCGUCAUGUGUUACAUCGCCAUGAGCUACCAGUUGUGUCAAAUAAAACUGCUGAAACUAUUUGUGAUGCCUGUCAGCAGGGCAAGAGUCACCAACUUCCGUUUUCAGAGUCUAGUCGUGUUGUGAAACAUCCUCUUGAGCUUGUUUUUUCCGAUGUCUGGGGUCAUGCCCAAACGUCUGUUAGUGGACACAAUUAUUAUGUCAGUUUCAUUGAUGCUUACAGUCGGUUUACUUGGCUUUAUCUUAUUAAGAAAAAGUCUGAUGUGUUUGAUGUUUUUCUACAGUUUCAAGCACACGUUGAG
RNAcentral lists this ribosomal RNA (369 nucleotides) under Triticum aestivum (bread wheat). RNAcentral's name for it is "partial small subunit ribosomal RNA". Lineage: Eukaryota; Viridiplantae; Streptophyta; Magnoliopsida; Poales; Poaceae. The record is from RNAcentral.